Molecule: ribosomal RNA, 440 nt
Filed under: uncultured bacterium
Lineage: Bacteria
Description: partial 16S ribosomal RNA
Rfam family: Bacterial small subunit ribosomal RNA
Source: RNAcentral
CCUACGGGAGGCUGCAGUAGGGAAUAUUGCUCAAUGGGGGCAACCCUGAAGCAGCAACGCCGCGUGGAGGAUGACGGUUUUCGGAUUGUAAACUCCUUUUGUUAGAGAAGAUAAUUGCGGUAUCUAACGCAUACUCAACGGCUAACGCCGUUCCAGCAGCCGCGGUAAUACGGAGGGUGCAAGCGUUACUCGGAAUCACUGGGCGUAAAGCGCGCGUAGGCGGGAUAGCAAGUCAGAUGUGAAAUCCUAUGGCUUAACCAUAGAACUGCAUUUGAAACUGUGAUUCUAGAGUAUGGGAGAGGUAGGUGGAAUUCUUGGUGUAGGGGUAAAAUCCGUAGAGAUCAAGAGGAAUACUCAUUGCGAAGGCGACCUGCUAGAACAUAACUGACGCUGAUGCGCGAAAGUGUGGGGAGCAAACAGGAUUAGAUACCCCAGUAGUC